GAGAGUUAAACAGUACGUGAAAUUGUUGAAAGGGAAACGAUUGAAGCCAGUCGUACCUUCGGGUAAUCAGCCUUUCGGGUGCGAUUCUGUGGAGUGUGAGGAGCUUAAACACCUUCAUGUUUUGCAUAUUCGUACUCUUGGGUGUACUUGCCCGUGUGGUUGGUUAACAUCAAUUUUGGUGGUCAUAAAAUGACUGGAGGAAUGUAGCUUCGAUCUCGUAUUGAAGUGUUAUAGCCUUCGGUAGAUGUGAUGAUCGAGAUUGAGGAUUGCAACGGAUACCCUUCGGGGCUACCUGUCUGAUCUCUGAUCGUUGCUCUGGUGCCGAAAGCUUGCUUACGGUUAUCAAAGUCGAUGGUCAAUAGGUUAGAACGGGUUAAAUUCGUUAAGGAUGUUGACGUAAUGGCUUUAAACGA
This 413-nucleotide ribosomal RNA is filed under the name uncultured Rhizophagus. Its description in RNAcentral is "partial 28S ribosomal RNA". The record is from RNAcentral. Lineage: Eukaryota; Fungi; Glomeromycota; Glomeromycetes; Glomerales; Glomeraceae.